GACGAACGCUGGCGGCGUGCCUAAUACAUGCAAGUUGAGCGAUGAAGCUUGGUGCUUGCACCAAUUUGAAGAGCAGCGAACGGGUGAGUAACGCGUGGGGAAUCUGCCUUUGAGCGGGGGACAACAUUUGGAAACGAAUGCUAAUACCGCAUAACAACUUUAAACAUAAGUUUUAAGUUUGAAAGAUGCAAUUGCAUCACUCAAAGAUGAUCCCGCGUUGUAUUAGCUAGUUGGUGAGGUAAAGGCUCACCAAGGCGAUGAUACAUAGCCGACCUGAGAGGGUGAUCGGCCACAUUGGAACUGAGACACGGCCCAAACUCCUACGGGAGGCAGCAGUAGGGAAUCUUCGGCAAUGGACGAAAGUCUGACCGAGCAACGCCGCGUGAGUGAAGAAGGUUUUCGGAUCGUAAAACUCGGUUGGUAGAGAAGAACGUUGGUGAGAGUGGAAAGCUCAUCAAGUGACGGUAACUACCCAGAAAGGGACGGCUAACUACGUG
This 497-nucleotide ribosomal RNA is filed under the name uncultured bacterium. RNAcentral describes it as "partial 16S ribosomal RNA". It matches the Rfam family "Bacterial small subunit ribosomal RNA", at positions 28 to 507 of the family's 1533-position model. The record is from RNAcentral.